This 1275-nucleotide long non-coding RNA is filed under the name Salmo salar (Atlantic salmon). Its description in RNAcentral is "lncRNA (ENSSSAG00000114567.1)". Lineage: Eukaryota; Metazoa; Chordata; Actinopteri; Salmoniformes; Salmonidae. The record is from RNAcentral.
UAUGGGUAUUAAAUACUGGUACUAACUACAGGUACUAAGUACUGGUACUAACUACGGGUACUAAGUACUGGUACUAACUAUGGGUACUAAGUACUGGUACUAACUAUGGGUACUAAGUACUGGUACUAACUACGGGUACUAAGUACUGGUACUAACUACAGGUACUAAGUACUGUUACUAACUACUGGUACUAGUAUUGACAGUAGUCCAGGGAAUUCUAGCAUCUUAUCUCUUACUUAUACAGUAUCUUAUAUCUAAUCUCCCAGGCACUGUGAUCGCAGGUGUGUGUUUCCAGGUGCGUGUGUUUCCAGGUGCUUGUAUUUCCAAGUGCAUGUGUUUCCAAUAUGUGUUUCCACGUGUGUGUCUCCGGGUGCAUGUGUUUUCAGGUGCGUGUGUUUCCAGGUGCGUGUGUUUUCAGGUGCGUGUGUUUCCAGGUGCGUGUGUUUCCAGGUGCGUGCUUUUCAAGGUGUGUGUGUUUCCAGGUGUGUGUGUUUCCAGGUGUGUGUGUUUCCAGGUGUGUGUGUUUCCAGGUGUGUGUGUUUCCCGGGUGUGUGUUUCCAGGUGCGUGUUUCCAUGUGUGUGUGUUUCCAUGUGUGUGUGUUUCCAGGUGUGUGUGUUUCCAGGUGUGUGUGUUUCCAGGUGUGUGUGUUUCCAGGUGUGUGUGUUUCCCGGGUGUGUGUUUCCAGGUGCGUGUUUCCAUGUGUGUGUGUUUCCAGGUGUGUGUGUUUCCAUGUGGGUAUGUUGGCACCCUUGGGAGGCAUACGGGCAAAGCUCAGUCACCUGGCAUCCAGACUACAUUGGUAGACACCACGGUGCGAAGCCCCAACUGGUCCGAUUGCCAAAGUUGACAAGACUUCCUAUCAUCAGGUGCUGCUUUCCUCUACUAACAUGACACCUCACCCUAUUCGCUGCAUUACCCAUGAGGCCCUGUUAUCCUCUAUCCCGCCCCUCCUAGCCUACCCAGCCCGACCUGCCAUCCCAUCAUGUUAUGCCAUCGCGGUCACCACCGGCGAUGAUUCGCACCCCAGUCGGUGGGGGCUCUCGGUGUUUCAGAGGUGUUGGCACCACACUGCUACCAGACAAGGUGUUGUAACCACACUGCUACCAGACAAGGUGUUGUCACCCCACUGCUACCAGACAAGGUGUUGUCACCACACUGCUACCAGACAAGGUGUUGUAACCACACUGCUACCAGACAAGGUGUUGUCACCACACUGCUACCAGACAAGGUGUUGUUACCACACUGCUACCAGACAAGGUGUUGUCACCACACUG